This 497-nucleotide ribosomal RNA is filed under the name uncultured bacterium. RNAcentral describes it as "partial 16S ribosomal RNA". It matches the Rfam family "Bacterial small subunit ribosomal RNA", at positions 28 to 523 of the family's 1533-position model. The record is from RNAcentral.
GAUGAACGCUGGCGGCGUGCUUAACACAUGCAAGUCGAACGAAGCAUUCUAACGGAACAUUUUCGGAUGGGAAGUUAAAAUGACUGAGUGGCGGACGGGUGAGUAACGCGUGGGUAACCUACCAUAUACAGGGGGACAACAGUUGGAAACGACUGCUAAUACCGCAUAAGCGCACAGUGCCGCAUGGCACGGUGUGAAAAACUCCGGUGGUAUAUGAUGGAUCCGCGUCUGAUUAGCUAGUUGGUGAGGUAAUGGCCCACCAAGGCAACGAUCAGUAGCCGACCUGAGAGGGUGACCGGCCACAUUGGGACUGAGACACGGCACAAACUCCUACGGGAGGCAGCAGUGGGGAAUAUUGCACAAUGGGCGAAAGCCUGAUGCAGCGACGCCGCGUGAGCGAAGAAGUAUUUCGGUAUGUAAAGCUCUAUCAGCAGGGAAGAAAAUGACGGUACCUGACUAAGAAGCCCCGGCUAACUACGUGCCAGCCGCCGCAGUAA